RNAcentral lists this ribosomal RNA (1035 nucleotides) under Staphylococcus warneri. RNAcentral describes it as "bacterial SSU rRNA". It matches the Rfam family "Bacterial small subunit ribosomal RNA", at positions 370 to 1395 of the family's 1533-position model. Lineage: Bacteria; Bacillati; Bacillota; Bacilli; Caryophanales; Staphylococcaceae. The record is from RNAcentral.
AAUGGGCGAAAGCCUGACGGAGCAACGCCGCGUGAGUGAUGAAGGUCUUCGGAUCGUAAAACUCUGUUAUCAGGGAAGAACAAAUGUGUAAGUAACUGUGCACAUCUUGACGGUACCUGAUCAGAAAGCCACGGCUAACUACGUGCCAGCAGCCGCGGUAAUACGUAGGUGGCAAGCGUUAUCCGGAAUUAUUGGGCGUAAAGCGCGCGUAGGCGGUUUUUUAAGUCUGAUGUGAAAGCCCACGGCUCAACCGUGGAGGGUCAUUGGAAACUGGAAAACUUGAGUGCAGAAGAGGAAAGUGGAAUUCCAUGUGUAGCGGUGAAAUGCGCAGAGAUAUGGAGGAACACCAGUGGCGAAGGCGACUUUCUGGUCUGUAACUGACGCUGAUGUGCGAAAGCGUGGGGAUCAAACAGGAUUAGAUACCCUGGNUAGUCCACGCCGUAAACGAUGAGUGCUAAGUGUUAGGGGGUUUCCGCCCCUUAGUGCUGCAGCUAACGCAUUAAGCACUCCGCCUGGGGAGGACGACCGCAAGGUUGAAACUCAAAGGAAUUGACGGGGACCCGCACAAGCGGUGGAGCAUGUGGUUUAAUUUGAAGCAACGCGAAGAACCUUACCAAAUCUUGACAUCCUUUGACCGCUCUAGAGAUAGAGUUUUCCCCUUCGGGGGACAAAGUGACAGGUGGUGCAUGGUUGUCGUCAGCUCGUGUCGUGAGAUGUUGGGUUAAGUCCCGCAACGAGCGCAACCCUUAAGCUUAGUUGCCAUCAUUAAGUUGGGCACUCUAAGUUGACUGCCGGUGACAAACCGGAGGAAGGUGGGGAUGACGUCAAAUCAUCAUGCCCCUUAUGAUUUGGGCUACACACGUGCUACAAUGGACAAUACAAAGGGCAGCUAAACCGCGAGGUCAAGCAAAUCCCAUAAAGUUGUUCUCAGUUCGGAUUGUAGUCUGCAACUCGACUACAUGAAGCUGGAAUCGCUAGUAAUCGUAGAUCAGCAUGCUACGGUGAAUACGUUCCCGGGUCUUGUACACACCGCCC